RNAcentral lists this ribosomal RNA (439 nucleotides) under uncultured bacterium. RNAcentral's name for it is "partial 16S ribosomal RNA". It matches the Rfam family "Bacterial small subunit ribosomal RNA", at positions 339 to 795 of the family's 1533-position model. The record is from RNAcentral.
CUAUGGGAGGCAGCAGUGAGGAAUAUUGCGCAAUGGAGGAAACUCUGAUGCAGCAACGCCGCGUGGAGGAUGACGCAUUUCGGUGUGUAAACUCCUUUUAUAUGUCAAGAAAAUGACGGUAGCAUAUGAAUAAGCACCGGCUAACUCCGUGCCAGCAGCCGCGGUAAUACGGAGGGUGCAAGCGUUACUCGGAAUCACUGGGCGUAAAGGACGCGUAGGCGGGAUAUCAAGUCAGGUGUGAAAUCCUACAGCUUAACUGCAGAACUGCACUUGAAACUGGUAACCUAGAGUAUGGGAGGGGGGGGAGGAAUUAGUGGUGUAGGGGUAAAAUCCGUAAAUAUCAAUAGGAAUACCUAAAGCGAAGGCGAUCUCCUGGAACAUAAAUGACGCUAAGGCGUGAAAGCGUGGGGAGCAAACAGGAUUAGAUACCCUUGUAGUC